Molecule: long non-coding RNA, 175 nt
Organism: Zea mays
Lineage: Eukaryota; Viridiplantae; Streptophyta; Magnoliopsida; Poales; Poaceae
Exons: 2
Source: RefSeq, a predicted model, not a curated record
UCUGGAGGAUAUAGUGUAUCUGAACAAGAUAAAAUUAAAUUCUCAAUGUGUAUCGUGCACUUUUUGCUUCCUUGGCUGAAACAAUUCCAUCAAGAGCAGAUGCAAGAGAAAAGUGCCGAGGCUGCAACUAAAGGUAUUGAUGCAGACAAACUGGAGGUCCCUCUAACCAUUUGUG